This 661-nucleotide ribosomal RNA is filed under the name Trichoderma cf. longibrachiatum C292. RNAcentral's name for it is "eukaryotic LSU rRNA". The stretch from base 279 to 432 matches the Rfam family "5.8S ribosomal RNA". The record is from RNAcentral. Lineage: Eukaryota; Fungi; Ascomycota; Sordariomycetes; Hypocreales; Hypocreaceae.
GGAAGUAAAAGUCGUAACAAGGUCUCCGUUGGUGAACCAGCGGAGGGAUCAUUACCGAGUUUACAACUCCCAAACCCCAAUGUGAACGUUACCAAUCUGUUGCCUCGGCGGGAUUCUCUUGCCCCGGGCGCGUCGCAGCCCCGGAUCCCAUGGCGCCCGCCGGAGGACCAACUCCAAACUCUUUUUUUCUCUCCGUCGCGGCUCCCGUCGCGGCUCUGUUUUAUUUUUGCUCUGAGCCUUUCUCGGCGACCCUAGCGGGCGUCUCGAAAAUGAAUCAAAACUUUCAACAACGGAUCUCUUGGUUCUGGCAUCGAUGAAGAACGCAGCGAAAUGCGAUAAGUAAUGUGAAUUGCAGAAUUCAGUGAAUCAUCGAAUCUUUGAACGCACAUUGCGCCCGCCAGUAUUCUGGCGGGCAUGCCUGUCCGAGCGUCAUUUCAACCCUCGAACCCCUCCGGGGGGUCGGCGUUGGGGAUCGGCCCCUCACCGGGCCGCCCCCGAAAUACAGUGGCGGUCUCGCCGCAGCCUCUCCUGCGCAGUAGUUUGCACACUCGCACCGGGAGCGCGGCGCGGCCACAGCCGUAAAACACCCCAAACUUCUGAAAUGUUGACCUCGGAUCAGGUAGGAAUACCCGCUGAACUUAAGCAUAUCAAUAAGCGGAGG